RNAcentral lists this ribosomal RNA (440 nucleotides) under uncultured Anaerotruncus sp. Its description in RNAcentral is "bacterial SSU rRNA". It matches the Rfam family "Bacterial small subunit ribosomal RNA", at positions 338 to 795 of the family's 1533-position model. The record is from RNAcentral. Lineage: Bacteria; Bacillati; Bacillota; Clostridia; Eubacteriales; Oscillospiraceae.
CCUACGGGAGGCUGCAGUGGGGGAUAUUGCACAAUGGGCGAAAGCCUGAUGCAGCGACGCCGCGUGAGGGAAGACGGCCUUCGGGUUGUAAACCUCUGUCUUUGGGGACGAUAAUGACGGUACCCAAGGAGGAAGCUCCGGCUAACUACGUGCCAGCAGCCGCGGUAAUACGUAGGGAGCGAGCGUUGUCCGGAAUUACUGGGUGUAAAGGGAGCGUAGGCGGGAGUGCAAGUUGGAUGUGAAAACCAUGGGCUCAACCCAUGGACUGCAUUCAAAACUGUACUUCUUGAGUGAUGUAGAGGCAGGCGGAAUUCCUAGUGUAGCGGUGAAAUGCGUAGAUAUUAGGAGGAACACCAGUGGCGAAGGCGGCCUGCUGGGCAUUUACUGACGCUGAGGCUCGAAAGUGUGGGGAGCAAACAGGAUUAGAUACCCCAGUAGUC